AAAAUUCACAAGUUAUUUUUGUUCCUGGCUGUCUUUCUCAUAUAAACGGUACAAAAGUACUGGCAACUGAGAAGUUUUGUGAAUCUCUAGGCCACGCCUUAUAAGAUAUGAUCACUUAGGAGUUGGAAGUACGGAUGGUAAUUUAUGAGAACCACAGUGUAGAAAUAGAGGAAUUAUGUUCCCUUUAGAAUCUCAGAUGCAGGUGGAUCCAGACUAGCUGGGUGGCUUCUUUUUAAUGUUGCAAUUGAACGUCCAGAAAAGAUAGUUGCUCCUUGGUAGAACCACAGCUAUAAAUGGUAUAGAAAUACAAUUUAGUGAACUUUUCCUUGCUGAUGUAGGAGGAACAAAAGGAGGUGAUGGGUGAUGUCACCAAAACACAACAAAAGAGUGCCUCAUUUUUUCAAGAGUUUCGUUAAUGAAGCCAGGUCCUGGUGCUUGUUGGACAGCCCGCUGCUUGUGGGAAUGCCUCCAGGCACGAGGAGUGGUGCCCUUCUUGGCAUUCACUCAUGCAAAAUGGCUAACCCAGUCAUCUGUACAGAUACAGAUGUCAUCCUCUGUCAAAAGAGUGAUCAUCAAAUGAAGGAGAUAAAGAACAUUGAACUUUGUAUUUAUA
This 613-nucleotide long non-coding RNA is filed under the name Homo sapiens (human). RNAcentral describes it as "non-protein coding lnc-AMD1-4:1". Lineage: Eukaryota; Metazoa; Chordata; Mammalia; Primates; Hominidae. The record is from RNAcentral.